GUUGUAUGGUUAAGUGACUAAGCGUACACGGUGGAUGCCUUGGCAGUCAGAGGCGAUGAAAGACGUAGUAACUUGCGAUAAGCCCAGAUUAGGUAGUAACAACCAUUUGAGUCUGGGAUUUCUGAAUGGGGAAACCCACUUACAUAAGUAAGUAUCGUUACCUGAAUACAUAGGGUAACGAGGCGAACCGGGGGAACUGAAACAUCUAAGUACCCCGAGGAAAAGAAAUCAACCGAGAUUCCGAAAGUAGCGGCGAGCGAAAUUGGACUAGCCCUUAAGCUUUACACGCGUUAGACGAACGGUCUGGAAAGUCCGACGAUACAGGGUGAUAGUCCCGUAGUUGACGACGUGUGUUCAGUGAAAUCGAGUAGGGCGGGACACGUGAUAUCCUGUCUGAAUAUGGGGGGACCAUCCUCCAAGGCU
This 423-nucleotide ribosomal RNA is filed under the name Vibrio parahaemolyticus. RNAcentral describes it as "bacterial LSU rRNA". It matches the Rfam family "Bacterial large subunit ribosomal RNA", at positions 1 to 467 of the family's 2925-position model. The record is from RNAcentral. Lineage: Bacteria; Pseudomonadati; Pseudomonadota; Gammaproteobacteria; Vibrionales; Vibrionaceae.